UGCACGGCAAGGAAGGAUAUGGUUUCUAGAAACCCUCCAAAACAAGGGAAAGUGCACGCCAUACUUCUAAGACAAGGAUAAGGUGUCUUAAAGUAUUUGGGACUCCUCUUUUUUCUUGGAAACCUUUUCCUUCUUCAACUUGGAAUACUUCUUUGUUGCUGAAAAUCAAGGCCAAUUAGGGUUUUCCUACUUCAAGUAGGAAACCUUGUUUGAGUAGGAAACUUCAUUCGUCUAGGAAUCCAUCUUCAAUUAGGAAUCCUUGAUUGAUUAGGACUCCUUCUUGGACUAGGAUUUCUUCUUCAAUUAGGCGCUUUCCUACUUCGACUAGGAAUCCUUGCUCAAGUAGGAAUCAUCAUCUUCAAAUCUUCAUUUUCAUCCAAACCCUUGGCUCCAAAUAUGUGACAUCCAAUCCACGCUCACUUUUGCUCCAAAAGCUCCAAAUUGCAUCAUUUUAGGUAAUAUGCCCUUUAAACCUGAAAACACAUGAAAGUAGCUUAAACGUUUAUUUAUACUAAGAAAACAUAACAAAAAUGCAUAAGAACUAGCUAACUAAGGCGCAUAAUUAUGCUCCUAUCAAAUUCCCCCGCACUUAGCUUUUGCUAGUCCUUGAGCAAAACAAAGAAACAAAAGAAAAACAAAACAAAACAAAAUAUAACCUAAACCUUCCAACGUUGCCUCAGGGAUUUCCAAUGCACAUGACAUAUUAAAAAUCAUCAUUCCCACAGAUUUUAGUCAUCUUCACACUUAAGCACAUACUUAGUCAUAGUCACCACGUACUAGUUCACAAAUAACCAAUUAAAACAUGAUUUUGAAUGUAGUAACAUGCCUUAGAGAGUUUGCUCAAUUCCUUACUAGAUAUGCACUCAAUUUUCACACAGAUUUUCUGACUACACACCCUAUACUAGUUAUAUGUGAGAGGAUUGAUGUAAAUAUGAAUACGAAUGCUCACAUAUAUGUAUAACAAAGAAAGCAAUUUCCGGAGUUAAUAACAUGUAUAUAAGUAUGAUCUCAUGAAUGGAAUGCUACUACUUAGAUGCGAGAACCAGUGACACCAUAUGCUCAUACCAAUUCUAAACUCCACAAAUUGAAACACACAACACUCAAGAUUAAAGUCAAGGGUUGUAACGGGGCUUAGGGUAUUGGCUAACAAAGAAUGGAUAGGGAUAACAAAGGUUCUUUUAGCAAUAGCAAGCAAAGCAAUGAAAUUGAAACUUAGAAUUCACUUUUGCAUGCAAAAAUCAACUUUUAAACACCAGGGGAAGAUUCAUACAACAUUUAGGGUCAAAUUCAACUUUUUGGACCCUUUCUUCAACAAUCAACACAUGUGAGUACAUUCUCACUUAUUUUCCACUCUUUUUCAUUCUUUUCACACACUUUUCUUUUUCUUUUUAUUUUUCCACGAAAUUUUUAUUUUUUAUUUUUUUCUUUUCCAUACAUGCCUCAUUUAAGACUUGGCACACACAUACCCAAGAGUCACUUCCCCCACACUUGUUUUCUGCAAUACAUUGAUCAAAAGGAAUUCAUUUUGAGUCAUGCUUACUAUUCUUCAAGAACAAGGUUAGGGAUGGUCCUAAUCUAGGCUAGGUAAGGAUAAUGUGGGUUAACAAACAAUAUAGGCUAAACAAGGCUCAACGGGGUUAAACCUACAAAAACAAAUGCAUGGAAUGAAGGCUUUUUGGCUAUGGUGGUAACUACUAACUUCAUCUUGAAUAUGUGUUAUGCAUUUCAAUAACAUGUUUUGAAUGAAAUUGGCAUGAGUUCUAGUGUUUGGAACUAAAUGAUGAAACGCCUUCUAAGUAGUAACCAAGCAAAGAAUAAUGAGAUCAUGCAACGACUUUAGAAAACAAGAAUGCAUAGAUUUUAACUCUCCAAAUAAACAUUUAGGCUCAAGUCUUACAAGGUUGUAGCGUUUGUUUGAGUUCCUUCCUUCAAGCAUGUUACAAAAACUGAUUUUUUCCUUUAUGAUUACAUGUGAAUUCAUAAGUUAUAACCAUAACCCAGCAUAAACCAAAGAGUAAAUCAAACUUUCAUCCAUGUUUAUAACUCUCUUUAACAGUCAUGCAAUUACAAACCGAAUCCUCAUCAUUGUGUUGGAAGGUACCCUAAGACACAAACAAACACACAAAACAACUUUAAAACGACUCUUUUUGGGUUUUUCAAAACAUUUUUUCAAAUUUAUGGGAUUUUCGAAUUUUUAUGUCAAAACACACUAAAACAGCCUAAAAACACCUAAAAACAGCAAGGAACAACAUUUGAAAUUAUGGGUGAUAAAACCCUACGAAUUGGUAUCAAAACACUUUGGUUACCCCCCCCCCCACACUUAAAUCAAACAUUGUCCUCAAUGUUUCAAGCAUAAACUAACACAAAUAACCAACAAACAAAGAAAACAACAACUAAACAAUCUAACAUGGUAGAAACGUAAUAACAACAAAGAGAAGGGUUUAGGAACGCAAAUCUGGAAUUGGAGUGCUCUCUAGGUCUUCCUUUGUCGAAUGCAUGGGUUGCCUCCCAAGUAGCGCUUUCUUUAACGUCUUGCAGCCGGACGAUGCUCCAUUGAAGGUUUAUGGAACCCCACGGCAUGGAGGGGUUUUUCCACUACCUGUCCUAUGAAAUACUUCAUUCUUUGGGUCCUUGAAUGGGAUGGGAUAAUGAUCCUUUCUUAUUGUCGUGUUUUGCUUAUCUAAAUCAACACGAACUCUCCCACCACGUUGUCUUCGAUUAGGUACCUGCACCAUACAAGGUAGCAACCUAUUAGUUGAAAUGGGAAUCGAAAUUGGAAUAGGUGGCUUACCUUUGUACGGCUAAGAAGUGGUAGCACUAUGGACAGAUGCACAAGGGGUGCACGUGGCCAGAUUUGGUGAUUUCAAGGUUGGGGCCGUGCACUCUUUGUUGUUCACUCCAAUUCCU
Molecule: long non-coding RNA, 2907 nt
Filed under: Malus domestica (apple)
Lineage: Eukaryota; Viridiplantae; Streptophyta; Magnoliopsida; Rosales; Rosaceae
Description: long non-coding RNA (MDOM_LNC018704)
Source: RNAcentral